RNAcentral lists this transfer RNA (72 nucleotides) under Stegodyphus mimosarum. It matches the Rfam family "tRNA". From Rfam's summary of the family: Transfer RNA (tRNA) molecules are approximately 80 nucleotides in length. The record is from Rfam by way of RNAcentral. Lineage: Eukaryota; Metazoa; Arthropoda; Arachnida; Araneae; Eresidae.
GCCUUAGUGGUGUAAUGGUUAUCACACUCGGCGCGUAUUCGAGAGGUCCAGGUUCAAAUCCCGGCAAAUGCA